UAAUACGAAGGGGGCUAGCGUUGUUCGGAAUUACUGGGCGUAAAGGGCGCGUAGGCUGUGCUGUAAGUCAGGCGUGAAAGCCCCGGGCUCAACCUGGGAAUUGCGCUUGAUACUGCGGCGCUGGAAGGUGGGAGAGGAUGGCGGAAUUCCCAGUGUAGAGGUGAAAUUCGUAGAUAUUGGGAAGAACACCGGUGGCGAAGGCGGCCAUCUGGCCCACAAUUGACGCUGAGGCGCGAAAGCGUGGGGAGCAAACAGGAUUAGAUACCCUGGUAGUCCACGCUGUAAACGAUGAGUGCUAGACGUCGGGGAGCUUGCUCUUCGGUGUCGCCGCUAACGCAUUAAGCACUCCGCCUGGGGAGUACGGUCGCAAGAUUA
This 375-nucleotide ribosomal RNA is filed under the name uncultured bacterium. RNAcentral's name for it is "bacterial SSU rRNA". It matches the Rfam family "Bacterial small subunit ribosomal RNA", at positions 521 to 896 of the family's 1533-position model. The record is from RNAcentral.